AUGAUGAUGAUGAUACGGUAUGGAUUGCCAGUGAGGCCCAUUCUACGCCCCUGGACUAUGUUAAGAGGAAGACCAGUGAGGCCCAUUCUACGCCCCUGGCAUAUUGGAAUGUUAUGUUAUGUUAUGUUAUGUAUGCAAGAGAAAGACCAGUGAGGCCCAUUCUACGCCCCUGGCACGAUUGGGCUAUGUUGAGGACUAUAGGUGAC
RNAcentral lists this long non-coding RNA (206 nucleotides) under Manihot esculenta (cassava). RNAcentral's name for it is "long non-coding RNA (MESC_LNC010657)". Lineage: Eukaryota; Viridiplantae; Streptophyta; Magnoliopsida; Malpighiales; Euphorbiaceae. The record is from RNAcentral.